UUGCUUCCCUCUGCAGGAGAUCAAAACGUGGAGUACAAGGGGACCGUCUGGCACAAAGACUGCUUCACCUGUAGUAACUGCAAGCAAGUCAUCGGGACUGGAAGCUUCUUCCCUAAAGGGGAGGACUUCUACUGCGUGACUUGCCAUGAGACCAAGUUUGCCAAGCAUUGCGUGAAGUGCAACAAGCCAUCACAUCUGGAGGAAUCACUUACCAGGAUCAGCCCUGGCAUGCCGAUUGCUUUGUGUGUGUUACCUGCUCUAAGAAGCUGGCUGGGCAGCGUUUCACCGCUGUGGAGGACCAGUAUUACUGCGUGGAUUGCUACAAGAACUUUGUGGCCAAGAAGUGUGCUGGAUGCAAGAACCCCAUCACUGGUUUGGUAAAGGCUCCAGUGUGGUGGCCUAUGAAGGACAAUCCUGGCACGACUACUGCUUCCACUGCAAAAAAUGC
This 448-nucleotide long non-coding RNA is filed under the name Homo sapiens (human). RNAcentral's name for it is "HSALNT0286711". Lineage: Eukaryota; Metazoa; Chordata; Mammalia; Primates; Hominidae. The record is from RNAcentral.